UAGCUGAUGAGCGGCCUGUGAGGAAUUUAGAGGAAGCCAGGAUUCUUGACUUCAAUGAGUUUUUGAUCCCGGAUUCGGCGCCAGCGGGUCCACCAGAGUCACCCACUCAGGCAUUUUCUCAUGGGUCUGCCGAGCCAGCGGUGUCUUCCCAUGUGAUUGUCGAGCCACAGGAUUCGGCGCCAGUGGGUCCACAGGAGCGACCCAUUCAG
Long non-coding RNA from Lycium barbarum (goji berry), 209 nucleotides. RefSeq lists it as uncharacterized. Lineage: Eukaryota; Viridiplantae; Streptophyta; Magnoliopsida; Solanales; Solanaceae. The transcript is spliced from 3 exons. The record is from RefSeq and is a predicted model, not a curated record.